AAUAAACUCUAGAUUUUCGUGUCCAACGUUUGGCCGUUCGUCUUAUUUAAAAAAAUUAUGAAAAAAAUAAAAAAAGGUCACGUAUAAAGUAUUAAUCAUGUUUUAUCAUCUCAACAAUAAAAAUACUAAUCAUAAAAAAAUUCAUAUAAGACGGACAAUAUAAGACGGACAGUCAAAUGUUGAACACGAAAACUCAGGUUUUUUUUUUUA
Non-coding RNA from Oryza meridionalis, 210 nucleotides. NCBI's taxonomy places the organism in Eukaryota, Viridiplantae, Streptophyta, Magnoliopsida, Poales, Poaceae. The record is from Rfam.